This is a long non-coding RNA of Bradysia coprophila, 276 nucleotides long. The record is from RefSeq and is a predicted model, not a curated record. NCBI's taxonomy places the organism in Eukaryota, Metazoa, Arthropoda, Insecta, Diptera, Sciaridae.
CUUAUAAAAACUGUGAAAUUUUGACUUGAUGCUUAAGUUUAACUUUUCAUACCGGCAAGUUCAUCUGUCGCUUUUUGUGGUCAAUAUGGAAAAGUAUCUAAAUAAAAAAUACAAAAUCGAUCGAAUCGACGACAGUUACGACGCGUAUUUAGAGGCAAUCGGCUUGAGCGUCGAGCAUCGAAAUGCGGCGAAAGAGUCAAAGGCAGCAUUUCAAUUGGUUCAGAUCAGUGCGAAUGAGUACUCGCUCAAAACCGAUGUCGGCCCCAGAACGCUCGA